Molecule: long non-coding RNA, 220 nt
Filed under: Gallus gallus (chicken)
Lineage: Eukaryota; Metazoa; Chordata; Aves; Galliformes; Phasianidae
Description: long non-coding RNA NONGGAT011935
Source: RNAcentral
UGAGGAUGUGACUCAAGAGGGUGCCCACCAGCAUUUCAGCUUGCAGACACCCCAUCAAGAGUUGAGAUAAAUGGCCCAGCGACAGGAAUUGUUUAAGUACGCGAAUGAAUGAGCAAUCACCCAUGAGCAAAGCUGACGACUUAGCAUCUGGAUGCUGCUAUUUCAUGAAGACCACGCUACAUCCUCUGCAGUUCUUAACUGCUUUGCACCUUUUGUUGCA